RNAcentral lists this ribosomal RNA (607 nucleotides) under uncultured bacterium. Its description in RNAcentral is "bacterial SSU rRNA". It matches the Rfam family "Bacterial small subunit ribosomal RNA", at positions 331 to 929 of the family's 1533-position model. The record is from RNAcentral.
CCAGACUCCUACGGGAGGCAGCAGUGGGGAAUCUUCCGCAAUGGACGAAAGUCUGACGGAGCAACGCCGCGUGAGUGAUGACGGCCUUCGGGUUGUAAAGCUCUGUUAAUCGGGACGAAAGGCCUUCUUGCGAAUAGUGAGAAGGAUUGACGGUACCGGAAUAGAAAGCCACGGCUAACUACGUGCCAGCAGCCGCGGUAAUACGUAGGUGGCAAGCGUUGUCCGGAAUUAUUGGGCGUAAAGCGCGCGCAGGCGGAUCAGUCAGUCUGUCUUAAAAGUUCGGGGCUUAACCCCGUGAGGGGAUGGAAACUGCUGAUCUAGAGUAUCGGAGAGGAAAGUGGAAUUCCUAGUGUAGCGGUGAAAUGCGUAGAUAUUAGGAAGAACACCAGUGGCGAAGGCGACUUUCUGGACGAAAACUGACGCUGAGGCGCGAAAGCCAGGGGAGCGAACGGGAUUAGAUACCCCGGUAGUCCUGGCCGUAAACGAUGGGUACUAGGUGUAGGAGGUAUCGACCCCUUCUGUGCCGGAGUUAACGCAAUAAGUACCCCGCCUGGGGAGUACGACCGCAAGGUUGAAACUCAAAGGAAUUGACGGGGGCCCGCACAAG